This 138-nucleotide unclassified non-coding RNA is filed under the name soil metagenome. RNAcentral's name for it is "partial internal transcribed spacer 1". The record is from RNAcentral.
CUGAGUACUACACUCUCUACCCUUUGUGAACUAUUAUACCUGUUGCUUCGGCGGCGCCCGCGAGGGUGCCCGCCGGUCUCAUCAGAAUCUCUGUUUUCGAACCCGACGAUACUUCUGAGUGUUCUUAGCGGACUGUCA